UUCUGCAAGGCUGGUGCAGCAGCUGUAAUGUCAGUCCUUGGCGUCUGUAGGACUGAUUUUCGGCUGCUGUUAUGACAACAUUUUAUCUUGGAUGUGGCUGCUGAUGUUGUGAGACUUUUGACAGGUUUUUGUAUUUGUUUUUAGCUGCUGUUUGGAGGUUUAGGGGCUGCCGGUUUGGUUUCUUGUUUUGGCUGUGAAGGGGCUGUGCUAUGGAACUCAAUUUAGUAGAUUUUUCUGUGCAUUGAUCGUCAUAGCUCUAGAUUUUCUUGCUUGGGUUUUCCUUUUCUUGGGGAAAUUGCGCCGUAUUCUAUUCGGGCAACCUUUAUGGUCGAGUAUCUUAGAGACUAUAUUGCUGAUAGACUUAAACCGUAAUUAGUUGUGCUGGACUAUAUAGCUUGUCACGAGUCCUCUUAAAUUUAGGUGUUUUUUUGUUGGUAAUUGUGGCUGCUUUUAGGAGCUUUUUUUUAUUGGCAAUUGUGGAUUGACUAGUAUUAUGACAUUCAUAAUUAAGUUUAUGAUCAAUUUGUAAUGAGAUUAUCAUGAAUGUAAUUUGCUAUAUUCAUAUUUCAGUAUCUUAUUAUAGCAUUU
Molecule: long non-coding RNA, 588 nt
Organism: Medicago truncatula (barrel medic)
Lineage: Eukaryota; Viridiplantae; Streptophyta; Magnoliopsida; Fabales; Fabaceae
Exons: 2
Source: RefSeq, a predicted model, not a curated record